AGAGUUUGAUUCUGGCUCAGGAUGAACGCUGGCGGCGUGCUUAACACAUGCAAGUCGAACGAAGCAUUCCAACUCUCGGAGGAAGAAAUGACUGAGUGGCGGACGGGUGAGUAACGCGUGGGUAACCUGCCUUAUACAGGGGGAUAACAGUUAGAAAUGACUGCUAAUACCGCAUAACCCGCUAGUACCGCAUGGUACAGACGGAAAAGAUUUAUCGGUAUAAGAUGGACCCGCGUCUGAUUAGCUAGUUGGUGAGGUAAUGGCUCACCAAGGCGACGAUCAGUAGCCGGCUUGAGAGAGUGAACGGCCACAUUGGGACUGAGACACGGCCCAAACUCCUACGGGAGGCAGCAGUGGGGAAUAUUGCACAAUGGGGGAAACCCUGAUGCAGCAACGCCGCGUGAAGGAAGAAGUAUUUCGGUAUGUAAACUUCUAUCAGCAGGAAAGAAAAUGACGGUACCUGACUAAGAAGCCCCGGCUAACUACGUGCCAGCCGCAGC
Molecule: ribosomal RNA, 500 nt
Filed under: uncultured bacterium
Lineage: Bacteria
Description: bacterial SSU rRNA
Rfam family: Bacterial small subunit ribosomal RNA
Source: RNAcentral